RNAcentral lists this ribosomal RNA (253 nucleotides) under uncultured bacterium. RNAcentral describes it as "partial 16S ribosomal RNA". It matches the Rfam family "Bacterial small subunit ribosomal RNA", at positions 524 to 776 of the family's 1533-position model. The record is from RNAcentral.
UACGAAGGGUGCAAGCGUUACUCGGAAUUACUGGGCGUAAAGCGUGCGUAGGUGGUUUGUUAAGUCUGAUGUGAAAGCCCUGGGCUCAACCUGGGAAUUGCAUUGGAUACUGGCAGGCUAGAGUGCGGUAGAGGAUGGCGGAAUUCCCGGUGUAGCAGUGAAAUGCGUAGAGAUCGGGAGGAACAUCCGUGGCGAAGGCGGCCAUCUGGACCAGCACUGACACUGAGGCACGAAAGCGUGGGGAGCAAACCGG